Cyprinus carpio carpio is the source of this 986-nucleotide long non-coding RNA. NCBI's taxonomy places the organism in Eukaryota, Metazoa, Chordata, Actinopteri, Cypriniformes, Cyprinidae. The record is from Ensembl.
AUGUCAUUUCUGUCACUUUUUGCUGUCAUCUGUGAGUUUGCUUACAGCAAAUACUUGUGUGAAAUCUGGCAACUGGUCUAUCAAUCUACCAUGCGGAAUGUUUUGGAGUCUCCAAAACGAGAAUUCAACCCUCAGAGGAAGCGUAAAGAGAAAUGGGUGUGCAUAAUUGCAGAAUGUCAGCAGGAACGGCUGGAGAUGUGCUCAGGGUUUUCAUCGAGGCAGCUGCCCAGACUUGCUACAUUCAGAAACAGCUGGUGCCGUCCAUCCAGCCCAGGCAAGCGCAGGUGGGCCUGUCACGACUGACCGCCCCAUCCCUGACCCAGCCUCCACCAUACGGCCCACAGCAGCCAGAGAGGAGGCUGUGCCAAAACUGUGUCACUCACAAAGACUGAAAUAAAAUGGAAGAUUUGGUACCCAAAGGCUUCUAUGCCCACUGUGGUGGUGAAGCAGAUGUUUCUUGUUGCUUCUGAUGAGCAGGAAGGUGUCUAAACCAUUGACAUCUAGUAAGGUUUUGAUGAUUGGCAAACAUGAUUUACAGAAAGAUGUAAAGAUUUUACUUUAUGAUGGAAUUCAGGGGCCAAAACUGCUAUAUUAUUAUUAUUUUUGAAUAUUUUGUAUUUCCCAAAACACUUCUUAAGAAUAUUCUUAUAUUUUGUUUAAAGUAAACAAGUGAAAUUCUUUUACAUUUUUUAUAUAAAAAUCAGAAAAAUUAAGAUGUUUAAUACGUUGUUUGAAAUAUUAAUCAUUACAAAACUCUAAAACUUUAUAAAACUUCCUUAAUGAGAACCUUAAGCUAUUGCCCACUGACAUUUUUCUUUUCUUUUCUUCCAUGUCAAAUUAACCAAACGUUUUCCAGCAAGUAAAAUCUCCUACAGCAGUGACUGUAGUUAGACUAUUCUUAUUAUGCCACUCUUUUGGAAUUAUUUUACAUUUGUUUGCAUGGUGCAACUUUCUGCUUAAUAAAUUGACACAUUUAAGAUUUGUCA